RNAcentral lists this unclassified non-coding RNA (416 nucleotides) under uncultured Bacilli bacterium. Its description in RNAcentral is "partial contains 16S ribosomal RNA, 16S-23S ribosomal RNA intergenic spacer, and 23S ribosomal RNA". The stretch from base 304 to 416 matches the Rfam family "Bacterial large subunit ribosomal RNA", at positions 1 to 113 of the family's 2925-position model. The record is from RNAcentral. Lineage: Bacteria; Bacillati; Bacillota; Bacilli.
UCUAAGGAAUAUAUGUCCUUACGGACAUUAAACGUUGACUGUUUCUUGUUUGUUUAGUUUUGAGGGAGCAAUUCUCUCAAAGCUUUUUUCUUUGCUCCUGCGCCGCAGUAGUUCGAGGAUGUGAAUCCUCAGCUCGUCGCAAGGCUGCAAGAAUUAACGCUCUGAUUUUGAAUCACGGUGUGAUAAAACUCAGUAGCCUUGUUCCUUGAAAACUAGAUAAUCGUAAAGAAGAAGAAACCAAGUAAGAACCGAGUAAUCGCCAUUUUAGUUUUCUCUCUAAUUAUUAGAGAAAUAAACCUUUUAGGUUAAGUUAGAAAGGGCGCACGGUGAAUGCCUUGGCACUAGGAGCCGAUGAAGGACGGGACUAACACCGAUAUGCUUCGGGGAGCUGUAAGUAAGCUUUGAUCCGGAGAUUU